This 548-nucleotide ribosomal RNA is filed under the name uncultured bacterium. RNAcentral's name for it is "partial 16S ribosomal RNA". It matches the Rfam family "Bacterial small subunit ribosomal RNA", at positions 355 to 895 of the family's 1533-position model. The record is from RNAcentral.
UGGGGAAUUUUGGACAAUGGGCGAAAGCCUGAUCCAGCAAUGCCGCGUGUGUGAAGAAGGCCUUCGGGUUGUAAAGCACUUUUGUCCGGAAAGAAAUCCUUGGCUCUAAUACAGUCGGGGGAUGACGGUACCGGAAGAAUAAGCACCGGCUAACUACGUGCCAGCAGCCGCGGUAAUACGUAGGGUGCAAGCGUUAAUCGGAAUACUGGGCGUAAAGCGUGCGCAGGCGGUUUGCUAAGACCGAUGUGAAAUCCCCGGGCUCAACCUGGGAACUGCAUUGGUGACUGGCAGGCUAGAGUAUGGCAGAGGGGGGUAGAAUUCCACGUGUAGCAGUGAAAUGCGUAGAGAUGUGGAGGAAUACCGAUGGCGAAGGCAGCCCCCUGGGCCAAUACUGACGCUCAUGCACGAAAGCGUGGGGAGCAAACAGGAUUAGAUACCCUGGUAGUCCACGCCCUAAACCUAAUGUCACUAGUUGUUGGGGAUUGCAUUUCCUUAGUAACGUAGCUAACGCGUGAAGUUGACCGCCUGGGGAGUACGGUCGCAAGAUU